RNAcentral lists this long non-coding RNA (640 nucleotides) under Nicotiana benthamiana. Its description in RNAcentral is "long non-coding RNA (NBEN_LNC037364)". Lineage: Eukaryota; Viridiplantae; Streptophyta; Magnoliopsida; Solanales; Solanaceae. The record is from RNAcentral.
AACAACCCGAUCACUACCAUGCAAAUCAUCCCACCAGCUUAACAACUUUGGAUGAAUGUUUGAUACCAUACCGAAUAUGCCUUUGCCAAAUUUAGGGGUUCUUGAAUAUCGGAAGAGCGCAACUACUCAUUAUAAGUGUUGCUUUAGGAUUUGUUUGGCACGAGUGGAAAAUGAUGUUGAAGGAUGCAAUUGCAACAAUGAAAUAAAUACAUGUAUUUUCAUGUUCAUAAUGAUUACAAUAAAUGCUCGAAAUUAAUGACGGAAUUGAAAAAAGUAAAGACAAUAAAACAGUAAAACAGUUAAAGAAAAGAAAAGACAUGAAGAAACAAGUAAGUAGUUUUGAAAAUAAAAGAAAAGUAAUUGACGCAAUAAAUAAAGAAAGUGGUAAAGUCACAAAACACGUAGUGGUAAAAUCCUAAAAAGAUCCCCAGCAGAGUCGCCAUGCUGUCGACGCCCCCUUUUUCAAGAGCGAAAUCGGGUUUUACGACAUUAUGGGCAAAACAACUCUAUUUCCCAUUUGGAAAUUGGGUCACGGAAUUGGAAGAGUCGCCACCUAAUGAUUAUAGUGCAUUAGGACACUUUAAGAUAAAGAGAGUGUUUUGAGAGAGAAACUAGAGUUGGGUAAGGGCUUGAAAUUAUC